AAAUAGAACUUGAAGACCAGUUUCCUCCUGUGAUGAAUACAACCAACUACCGUAAAACAUUAGCCAUGGCUAGAGCCAAACCUCGUGCAUCUCGAAACUCAAACUUAUCGAACAGAAACCUCCUUCAAUCAAUAGACGAGGAGGCUUCUGUUGAUCUAAACGAGGCUAAAAAAGACUUACAGCUGGGGAAAGAAAUAGGGAUGCAGUUUGAAGGUCCUGAUUCGGUAAUGGUUCAGGGCUUUGUGGAGAUGAGGCGUCAAGGAAGGAAGUGAUUCUCUCAAGAAUGUACAAAUUUGGGUUUUUUUUUUUUUUCUUAAAACAAAUUAAAGGUUGUUCCUAGAAUUUUAUCUCCAAAUGUAAAGGGCUUAGGCAGUAAAGGGAUGCAAAGAGGUUAGAAAUUUGGUUAGACAUUAUAAGGCAAAUAUCCUCUUUCUUUUGGAGACUAAGAAGGUGGGCAUUUCAAGAAAAUUUAUGGAGAAAAUCUUGGUUGAUAGUAAGUUUGACUAGGCUUGCCUUGAUGCGGUAGGAGCUUCUGGUGGAGUUUUUGACAGUGUGGCAUUCGUCUGUGUUUCUUCAAUCUGAAAUUGUAUUGGGUUCUUGUUUUGUAUGGUGAAAGGCAAAUUUCUAGAUGUCCUUGAUUUCUGCUUUCUGUUUAAUAGUUAUACCCCAAACGAUUUGGCCUCUAGAAAAUUGGUUUCCGCAGAACUUCAUUAUUUAGUUGUGGGUUGUUCCGGAUUAUGCUGUAUAGGUGGGGAUUUUAAUGCGGUCAGUGAACAACAAGAGCGUAAAGGGUGUGUAGAGGACUUAGUAAGCUGUUCAAAUUUUAAUUCUUUCAUUGCUAACUGUGAUUUGCAAGACUUUCCUAUUAUGGGUAGAAGCGACACUUGGGCAAAUGCAGCUGUUAACAAGAUGAGUAGGAUCGACAGGUUUCUAGUAUGUAAUGGUUGGCUAGAAAAUUGGGCAGGCUUUCAAGUGUUGGGUCUAAAUAGAAUCUGUUCAGAUCAUUGCCCUAUCCUUUUUGGUUCUGAUUUGUCUAACUGGGGACUGAAACCUUUUCGCUUCUUCAGUUUCUGGUGCGACCAAAAGAGUUUCCCAAAAGUCGUUAAAGAUUACUAGAAUCAAAAUAUAUUUCGGGGAUUUAAUGGUUUUAUUUAUGAGUAAGCUUCGAAUUCUGAAGAAAGAACUAAAGUCUUGGAAUCGAUUAGUGGUUGGGAUUUUGAAUGAGGAAAAAUUGAAAUGCAUUGGGGAUUUAGCUACUCUUGCUUUGAAGGCAAAAAUUAAUAAUCUUAGUAACGAUGAAGUAUCUUUGAGAAGAUCUUUGUUCUCAAAACUGUUAGAGAUUCAAAGAGCUAAGAGAGUAUGUUAAGGCAGAAAGCUAGGGUGAAGUGGCUGAAAGAAGGGGAUGCUAAUACUAAAUACUACCAUGCAAUAGUUAAUAAGAGAGUAGCAAAUAAUCAAAUAGCGAUUCUAAAUUUUUAAUGUUAGGUUUCGGGAGUGGCAGAUGUAAGAAAUGUAGUUCAACAUCACUUCUCUAACAUGUUUGCAGCAGACACAUCAAUAAGACCCUCUCUGAGAUGUGAAACAGUCAGAAAAUUAUCAGAGUCAGAGAGGCUUCGUUUAGAAGUGCCUUUUUCUGGAAAAGAAAUAAAGGAAGCUGUUUGGAGUUGCGGUUUAUCCAAGUCUCCUAGGUCGGAUGGGUACACAAUAAAGUUCUACAAAAAUUGCUGGGAAACAAUCAAAGAAGAUCUUUUUAAAUUUUUUCAAGACUUUUAUGAUGAUGGAAAGUUAUCUAAAUGAAUUCAAGUUUUAUAAUAUUGAUCCCAAAGAUUUCGUCUCCUUAAUGUCUGUUCGAUUAUAGGCUGAUUUCCCUUAUUGGAAGCGUCUAUAAGGUGGUAACAAAACUUCUCCUUUUAAGGAUGAGGCGGGUUAUGAAUUCUAUCAUUGGGGAGAACCAAACUGCUUUCGUGGGGGGUCGUCAAAUAAUAGAUGGUAUCUUAAUAUGCACUGAAUUAAUUCAUGACUAAAAGAGAAGGAAAAUUAAGUCAGUUUUUUUCAAGGCCAAUUUUCAGAAGGCUUAGGAUUUGGUGAACUGGAACUUUCUACUGUCUAUGAUGGAUAAAUUGGCUUUUGGUGAAAGAUGGAGAAGUUGGAUAAAGGAGUGCUUAGAGAUUUCCAGAUUAUCGAUUUUGGUAAAUGGGUGUCCUAUGAAGGAAUUUACUAUGUGUAGGGAUCUCAAACAAGGAGACUUUUUUUCACCUUUACUUUUUCUUAUUGUGGUUGAAGGUCUUAAUAUUCUUAUGAGAAAUUCGAUUGAAAAACGUUUUUUUUUCAAGCGUAAAAGUGGGGGAAGACGAGGUAAUAGUUUCCCACCUUCAAUUUGCAGAUGACUCGGUGAUUUUUAAUGCUGCAGAUAAGGGCCAAAUUUGCAAUUUAAGGAGAAUUCUUGUAUGCUUUCAAUUCUUAUCAAGGGUAAAAAUUAACUUCAGCAAGAGUAAACUAUUUAGGGUGAAGAUUUUUGAACUUGAAUUGAUAACCUUGCAACCACUUUGGGGUGCAUCCCGGAUCUCUUGCCUACAUCAUAUUUGGGUAUUCAAUUGGUAGCAGUCGUAGAAACUUGCUUCUUGGCGUGCAGUGAUUCAGAAGUUUGAAUGAAGAUUGUUGUUGUGGAAAGCAAGAAAUUUUUCUUUCGGAGGAAGAAUAGCUUUAAUCAAAUUAGUGUUAUCUUCCCUACCCUUGUAUUACAUGUCUAUUUUCAAAGCUCCUUUUUCUAUCAUCAAAAGAAUUGCAUCGAUCCAGAGAAGGUUUUUAAGGGGUAAAGGGCUAGAGAAUGAGAGGCCUUUAAACUAGGUGGCGAUGAGUUCUAUUUGUUGUAGCAAGGCUUUUGGUGGAAUUGGUGUUCCUAAUUUUAAAUGUAAUAACAUUUCUCUUUUGGGAAAAUGGUGGUGGAGGUUUAAAUCGGGAAAUGGUUUUUUAGGAAACACAUUUUAAUUUCAAAGUAUGGUAAUGAACGAUUGUGGAAUACAAAUUUGGGGUCAGAGUACUGGAAAAAAUUAUCUCCAGUUUGGUGAGAUAUAGCUUUUGUUGUUAUCUCUUCCUCUCUAAAAACCAUUUCUAAGGGAGGAUUCAGAUGGAUUUUAGAAAAUAAUAAUUGUAUUAAUUUUUGUUUGGUCUUUGGAUUGAUAAUGUUCCUCUCUCUUCGUUGUUCCCAAACUCUUCAGAUUAGCAAAAAAAUAAAAGGAGUAAGAUCUGUGAUUGUGGUUUCUUUGCUACUGGUAGAUGGAUUUGGCAAGUAGCAUAGCUGCGUGAUUUUAGAAGUUUUCAAGAAGAGUACUAGGCUCAGUUGAUCCAGAAUUAGAUGGGCUGGCAGUUAUUCUAGAUAUGGAAGAUGAGUAAUCUGGACAUUCAACAAGCAAGGAGUGUGUUUGUCCUUUUACAAUGGGGAAAUUGAAUCAGUUGUGUCCUCUUAUCUUGUUCUUUUGCAAGGAGUGUGUGGAUGGGUGUGCUGAGAUGGUGGGAUGUUCUGUGUGUUCUGCCAUUUUCCUUGGCAGACUUGAGCUGGCAGUGGGAGAGUAUUGUUUUGGUUAAAGGGUGUUGUGUUAUAUGGAAUUCUAUUAUGCUUUUAAUUUUGUGGUAUAUUUGGAUAGCUAGAAACAAAGUUGUCUUCAGUGAUCUAAGGCAAAAUUUGGAACAGGUUGUCGAUAUGCUUAAAUUCAGAAGCUUUGAGUUGUUAAUGGCUAAGUUUACUUCUAUUGGUCUCAGUGACUACUUUUUGUUCCCAAUUGAAGUUUGCAGAUCGGAGUUCAGUGGGUAUCACAACUGCUAGUCUAGGAAAGUAUGUGUUUUGGGGAGCGCCGGUUAAAGGAUGGCUGAAGUUCAACACUGACGGUUCUUCCUCUGGUAAGUUGCCUGCAGGGGUAGGAGGUGUGUUAAGGGACAACAAUGGAUUAGUUAAUGUAUUUUUUAUUAUUCAGUCGGUAUAUUGGAUUCAAAUGAGGCUGAUUACUUGCUAUUGUUUCAGCUAUUUAGAUUUUUUUGAAUUCAAAUGUUAAACAUUUUCCUUUGAUUGUGGAAUCGGACACUAAAAACACUUUAUGUUGGAUUAGUCAGAAGCUCAAGCGCUCAUGGUAUUGGUGGGAGAAGCUUAACAAGUUUGAUCAGAUUUUGUCUCAUCUCAAUAAGGUUCAAUUUGUUUUCGUCUUGAGAAAUGAUAACCAUUUUGCAGAUUCUUUAGCUAAGAAAAGGGUUAGUGCUACAAA
Jatropha curcas is the source of this 4256-nucleotide long non-coding RNA. RefSeq lists it as uncharacterized. The record is from RefSeq and is a predicted model, not a curated record. Lineage: Eukaryota; Viridiplantae; Streptophyta; Magnoliopsida; Malpighiales; Euphorbiaceae.